GAUUCCCCUAGUAACUGCGAGUGAAGCGGGAAAAGCUCAAAUUUGAAAUCUGGCAGUCUAUUUUUUCUUCUUUGGCUGUCCGAGUUGUAAUCUAGAGAAGUGCUUACCUGCACUGGACCAUGUAUAAGUCUCCUGGAAUGGAGCGUCACAGAGGGUGAGAAUCCCGUCUUUGACAUGGACUGCCAGUGUGUUGUGGUGUGCUCUCAAAGAGUCGAGUUGUUUGGGAAUGCAGCUCUAAAUGGGUGGUAAACUCCAUCUAAAGCUAAAUAUUGGCGAGAGACCGAUAGCGAACAAGUACCGUGAGGGAAAGAUGAAAAGGACUUUGGAAAGAGAGUUAAACAGUAUGUGAAAUUGUUGAAAGGGAAACGCUUGAAGUCAGUUAUGUUGGCUAGGGAUCAACCUAGCUGUCUUUUGCUGGGUGAAUUUCCUAGUCUGACAGGCCAACAUCAGUCUUGACUGCUGGAAAAGAGCAGAGGGAAUGUGGCACCUUCGGGUGUGUUAUAGCCCUUUGUCAUAUGUGGCGGUUGGGACUGAGGGAUGCAGCGUGCCGCGAGGCUGGGUUUCGACCACGUUCACGCUUAGGAUGUUGGCUUUUAAUGGCUUCAAUCGACCCGUCUUGAAACACGGACCAAGGAGUCUAACAUGCCUGCAAGUGUUUGGKUGGAAAACCCUUGCGCACAAUGAAAGUGAAAGUUGAGAUCCCUGUCAUGGGGAGCAUCGACGCCCGGACUUGAGCUUUUAGCGACGGAUCCGCGGUAGAGCAUGCAUGUUGGGACCCGAAAGAUGGUGAACUAUGCCUGAAUAGGGCAAAGCCAGAGGAAACUCUGGUGGAGGCUCGUAGCGAUUCUGACGUGCAAAUCGAUCUGUCUA
Molecule: ribosomal RNA, 870 nt
Filed under: Amanita fulva
Lineage: Eukaryota; Fungi; Basidiomycota; Agaricomycetes; Agaricales; Amanitaceae
Description: partial large subunit ribosomal RNA
Source: RNAcentral